Small nuclear RNA from Erigeron canadensis, 162 nucleotides. RefSeq annotates it as U1 spliceosomal RNA. The transcript has a single exon. The record is from RefSeq and is a predicted model, not a curated record. Lineage: Eukaryota; Viridiplantae; Streptophyta; Magnoliopsida; Asterales; Asteraceae.
GUACUUACCUGGAUGGGGUCUAUGGGCGAUCAACAAGGUCUGUGGCCUAGACCAGGGCCUUCCAUUGCACUUAGGAGGGCUGUCUGGUGUAAGGUCGGUCCAAGUGGCUGAACCUACAUCAUAAUAUUUGGAAGCGGGGGCUUGCGUUCGCGCAGCCCCUAA